RNAcentral lists this ribosomal RNA (1372 nucleotides) under uncultured bacterium. RNAcentral describes it as "bacterial SSU rRNA". It matches the Rfam family "Bacterial small subunit ribosomal RNA", at positions 28 to 1381 of the family's 1533-position model. The record is from RNAcentral.
GAUGAACGCUGGCGGCGUGCCUAAUACAUGCAAGUCGAGCGAACGGACGAGAAGCUUGCUUCUCUGAUGUUAGCGGCGGACGGGUGAGUAACACGUGGAUAACCUACCUAUAAGACUGGGAUAACUUCGGGAAACCGGAGCUAAUACCGGAUAAUAUUUUGAACCGCAUGGUUCAAAAGUGAAAGACGGUCUUGCUGUCACUUAUAGAUGGAUCCGCGCUGCAUUAGCUAGUUGGUAAGGUAACGGCUUACCAAGGCAACGAUGCAUAGCCGACCUGAGAGGGUGAUCGGCCACACUGGAACUGAGACACGGUCCAGACUCCUACGGGAGGCAGCAGUAGGGAAUCUUCCGCAAUGGGCGAAAGCCUGACGGAGCAACGCCGCGUGAGUGAUGAAGGUCUUCGGAUCGUAAAACUCUGUUAUUAGGGAAGAACAUAUGUGUAAGUAACUGUGCACAUCUUGACGGUACCUAAUCAGAAAGCCACGGCUAACUACGUGCCAGCAGCCGCGGUAAUACGUAGGUGGCAAGCGUUAUCCGGAAUUAUUGGGCGUAAAGCGCGCGUAGGCGGUUUUUUAAGUCUGAUGUGAAAGCCCACGGCUCAACCGUGGAGGGUCAUUGGAAACUGGAAAACUUGAGUGCAGAAGAGGAAAGUGGAAUUCCAUGUGUAGCGGUGAAAUGCGCAGAGAUAUGGAGGAACACCAGUGGCGAAGGCGACUUUCUGGUCUGUAACUGACGCUGAUGUGCGAAAGCGUGGGGAUCAAACAGGAUUAGAUACCCUGGUAGUCCACGCCGUAAACGAUGAGUGCUAAGUGUUAGGGGGUUUCCGCCCCUUAGUGCUGCAGCUAACGCAUUAAGCACUCCGUCUGGGGAGUACGACCGCAAGGUUGAAACUCAAAGGAAUUGACGGGGACCCGCACAAGCGGUGGAGCAUGUGGUUUAAUUCGAAGCAACGCGAAGAACCUUACCAAAUCUUGACAUCCUUUGACAACUCUAGAGAUAGAGCUUUCCCCUUCGGGGGACAAAGUGACAGGUGGUGCAUGGUUGUCGUCAGCUCGUGUCGUGAGAUGUUGGGUUAAGUCCCGCAACGAGCGCAACCCUUAAGCUUAGUUGCCAUCAUUAAGUUGGGCACUCUAAGUUGACUGCCGGUGACAAACCGGAGGAAGGUGGGGAUGACGUCAAAUCAUCAUGCCCCUUAUGAUUUGGGCUACACACGUGCUACAAUGGACAAUACAAAGGGCAGCGAAACCGUGAGGUCAAGCAAAUCCCAUAAAGUUGUUCUCAGUUCGGAUUGUAGUCUGCAACUCGACUACAUGAAGCUGGAAUCGCUAGUAAUCGUAGAUCAGCAUGCUACGGUGAAUACGUUCCCGGGUCU